AUUGAACGCUGGCGGCAUGCUUUACACAUGCAAGUCGAACGGCAACGAGGAGAAGCUUGCUUCUCUGUCGGCGAGUGGCGAACGGGUGAGUAUAGCAUCGGAACGUGCCAAGUAGUGGGGGAUAACCAAACGAAAGUUUGGCUAAUACCGCGUAAGCUCCAAGGAGGAAAGUAGGGGACCUAAAUAAGGCCUUACGCUAUUUGAUCGGCCGAUGUCGGAUUAGCUAGUUGGUGGGGUAAUGGCUCACCAAGGCAAUGAUCCGUAGCGGGUCUGAGAGGACGAUCCGCCACACUGGGACUGAGACACGGCCCAGACUCCUACGGGAGGCAGCAGUGGGGAAUUUUGGACAAUGGGGGAAACCCUGAUCCAGCCGUGCCGCGUGUAUGAAGAAGGCCUUAGGGUUGUAAAGUACUUUUGUUAGGGAAGAAAAGCUAGUUUUUAAUAAAAAUUAGUGAUGACGGUACCUAAAGAAUAAGCACCGGCUAACUACGUG
This 493-nucleotide ribosomal RNA is filed under the name uncultured bacterium. Its description in RNAcentral is "partial 16S ribosomal RNA". It matches the Rfam family "Bacterial small subunit ribosomal RNA", at positions 30 to 507 of the family's 1533-position model. The record is from RNAcentral.